GGGAGGCAGCAGUGGGGAAUGUUGGACAAUGGGCGAAAGCCUGAUCCAGCCAUUCCGCGUGGAGUGAAGAAGGCCUUCGGGUGUGUAAAGCUCUUUCGGCAGGAACGAAACGGCAGUCUCUAAUACAGGCUGUUAAUGACGGCACCUGAAGAAGAAGCACCGGCUAACUACGUGCCAGCAGCCGCGGUAAUACGUAGGGUGCGAGCGUUAAUCGGAAUUACUGGGCGUAAAGCGUGCGCAGGUGGUUGUUUAAGACAGAUGUGAAAUCCCCGGGCUUAACCUGGGAACUGCGUUUGUGACUGGACAGCUAGAGUGCGGCAGAGGGGGGUGGAAUUCCACGUGUAGCAGUGAAAUGCGUAGAGAUGUGGAGGAACACCGAUGGCGAAGGCAGCCCCCUGGGCCAGCACUGACGCUCAUGCACGAAAGCGUGGGGAGCAAACAGGAUUAGAUACCCUGGUAGUCCACGCCCUAAACGAUGUCAACUAGGUGUUGGGGAAGGAGACUUUCUUAGUACCGCAGCUAACGCGUGAAGUUGACCGCCUGGGGAGUACGGUCGCAAGAUUAAAACUCAAAGGAAUUGACGGAAUCA
Molecule: ribosomal RNA, 589 nt
Filed under: uncultured Rhodocyclaceae bacterium
Lineage: Bacteria; Pseudomonadati; Pseudomonadota; Betaproteobacteria; Rhodocyclales; Rhodocyclaceae
Description: bacterial SSU rRNA
Rfam family: Bacterial small subunit ribosomal RNA
Source: RNAcentral